Molecule: long non-coding RNA, 4846 nt
Filed under: Spirodela polyrhiza (greater duckweed)
Lineage: Eukaryota; Viridiplantae; Streptophyta; Magnoliopsida; Alismatales; Araceae
Description: long non-coding RNA (SPOL_LNC002142)
Source: RNAcentral
UGUAAGGAAUGCGACCACUGCAAAUCGGAGGAGAGCAACAUGUGCAGCCUGCUGAGGAUCAACCCUGACCGGGGUGUGAUGAUCGGAGACGGGAAGGCGAGGUUCUCCAUCAACGGGAAGCCCAUCUACCAUUUUCUCGGCACCUCCACCUUCAGCGAGUACACGGUGGUGCACGUGGGCUGCCUGGCGAAGAUAAACCCGCUGGCCCCCCUGGAAACGGUCUGCGUGCUCAGCUGCGGGAUCUCCACAGGUGCGGCCUUAUUCCUCCUCUGCUCGGCUUCUCUAGUUUUAAAUAAGAAAAGCAUAACCUUGGAACGUGUUCACACCAUCUUCUUCAUACCAAGCAUAGCCUCCAAUUUUGGGCAUCAGAUCUUUUCUUAAUACCGUACAUGUUUUUUUGAACUUUUCGAAGGUUUCGGCGCGACGGUGAAUGUGGCCAAACCAAAGAAGGGAUCGUCUGUUGCUGUAUUCGGAUUGGGAGCCGUGGGCCUUGCCGUGAGUGUCUCUCUCACUCUUUCUCUCUCUGUUUAUCUGUAUGAUGGAUGAUGACAUAUUAGAAUGGUGACAAACAGGCUGCGGAGGGGGCGAGGGUCUCAGGAGCUUCCAGGAUCAUCGGUGUGGACUUGAACCCUGAGAGAUUCGAGCAAGGUGUGUGUCCAUUCUUUUCAAACCGAUGGGAUUUCGGUUUAUGAGAUCGACAGCAAAGUUUAAGACGUUUGCAUUGCUUUGAUCACCAGCUAAGAAGUUCGGCGUGACGGAGUUUGUGAACCCAAAAGAUUACGACAGACCCGUUCAAGAGGUUCGCUUUCUAUUUCACACAAUUUUACAUUUACGAGCAUAUCAUCGAGACGUUGACUGCGGUUUCUAAAAUGCGAGUCCUGUCGACUGUGGUGAACAGGUGAUCGCCGAGAUGACCGGCGGCGGAGUAGACCGCAGCGUGGAGUGCACGGGCAACAUCAACGCCAUGAUCUCCGCAUUCGAAUGCGUCCACGAUGUACUUUCUCUCGAUUGCUGAGGCUUCAUAAGCGGAAAUCUAUUCUUAUUUCAGGAUCUCUAAUCUAGUAUGGUUGACUUCACGGUCGCAGGGCUGGGGUGUCGCUGUGUUGGUCGGUGUGCCUCACAAGGACGCCGUGUUCAAGACCUCCCCAGUGAAUUUCCUGACUGAGCGGACCCUCAAGGGCACCUUCUACGGGAACUACAAGCCUCGCAGUGAUAUCCCUGGUGUGGUGGAGAAGUACAUGAACAAGGUAAGGGAACUCAGUUUCACCUUGCCACAUUAGUUCUGAGCGGGACUGAAUGAUCGAUGUCGGUGUUUGCUAAAAAACGUGCGUCUGUUUCUUUGGUGAUUUGACGGUGCAGGAGCUGGAGCUGGAGAAGUUCAUCACCCACGAGGUCCCCUUCUCCGAGAUCAACAAGGCAUUCGAUUUAAUGCUCAGAGGAGAAGGCCUGCGCUGCCUUAUCCGAAUGUAACACUGAGUUAUACUCCUGCCUGCUACUACCGAUGAAGGCGUUCUGUUUGAUGAAGGAUUGAUGCCGUUUUUAAUUGAGAAAACAUGUAAAGUUUUUCUGUUGUUGUUUCAAGGAGAUUGAACCCUAAACAGAUACCUUAAUUUGAAGAUGUGAGAAGAAUAAGAUUGUAGGAAGAACUCACUAGGGUUUCAGGAUCUAGCUGCUGCCCCCUUCACCUUAGGCCUCUGUAUUAGGCUUCCAAGAUCCAACACUCUUUGCUUCAGUUGAGAACAGCCGAUCUCCUACCGGGCACCUCAGAGAAUGCCCAACCUAUUUCCGUCUUCUUGAGAGAGCGAGAGGAGGAGAGCCACGAAGAGUGGGAGGAUGUAUGCACGGGAUUGAAAAAUGACGAGUAUUAGGUCUAGUGCUUUAUAUAUCAGGACAUCCAAAUUAUCACGUCAGUACAUAUAUUUUUAUAGAUCUACACAACUUGCGGAGUACAUUCAGCAAAUCAUAUCUCAGCAUACAAAGUUUCACCGGUGUAGGGAUUUCAGCCACCCUAAAUCCACCACAAUGGCGCCAACGAGGGAAGGGUAGAGGCCUGGGGAGUAGCCUAAUGGGAUGAGACAACUGGUACUCCACCAAUGCGGCAGCAAUGACGACGAGGAGGCAAACUUCUGCCUGCGCGUGGGGAUAAUGGGCAGGGUAAGGAAGUGAGAGGACCAGAGAUAUACUAUAAACAGGACAGUAGAGGAAUCAAAGGGUUGGCGACGGGGUGAUAGACCUCUGCUCAUCAAACGGGAUAGAGACCGUCUCUGAAAGGAUCACUGGUGUUACUGAUUUGUUUAAACUAGUUGGGCCAUUGCAACGGCCCAAGAGAGAAGAUGAUGAGUUAUAUCCGACCCGCAUCUGUUAUAAUGGAUGCCCAUUUGUUGUAAUGGUCUCUCGUAUGUCAUAACCGCUGUCCUUCUCACCCUUUUGUCUUCCCCACCCCACUCUUCCUCUAUUUACAGUGGAGGGGUGUAGGAGAAGGUAGAGUAAGAGUGUCAGGGUCGGGUCUGGGGUUGGAGGGAUACAAGAAAUCGUGAAACUCUCGGUCCUUUCCCUUUUUCCCCUCUAUAUGCAACUAGGACAGUGCUAGAAAUUGUGGCUCAGCAUUUUCAGUAAUGUAUCAUGAUGUAAGAUGUGUUUCAUAUGAUGGUUUGGUUGUUAUUUAGAUCUCCAUUUUGUGUUUCUUCAAGUAAGAAAAAAGAGGCAUCCAAAGCAGAUAGUAUUGUCUUCAAUGUUCCAUGAAGACAGCUCGUGUUGUAUUCUGUGCUGGUCUCUACAGACGCCAAACAUCACGCGCAAGAGACAGCACCGAGGACCCCGGUUUCACUCUUCGGCGACAGCGGUAUCGCAAACCAGGGUGGCGGCUUCAUCCGGUCGUUGUUUGAAGGGCCUAGUCCGCUGGAUCAAUCCACCACGUUUCAAGUAAUCCGAAGGAUGGAGCGGUUGAGUUACGACGGCGAUGAGCUGCUCCACGAGUACCGUCUCACGUAAUUGCCCAGCUCGGGAAAGACUCAAGACCUCUGGACUGGUCUAAUUUGCUGGUUGGAUAUUCGUCACCCUCUUUGUAACUCAAGAAACUACUAGAAAAUGAGAUAGGAACAUGAUUUGAAACCAGUUAUGUCGAGCCAUAAGCAAGCUUGAGAGUGAUCGAUGUAAAUUGUUUGGCUUUCAGCAUUUUAUUAAAAAAUGGAUUUCCCAAAAUCGAAACCUGAUGCGAUGGCCAACAGUGUUGAAUUUAUUUAAUAAAAAAUUCAUCAAUAUAAAAAUUAGAAUGUAAUCCGGCUGUUUUCGAGGUGUGAUUUCUGAAUCCCUCAAUUUUAUGAAUUUUAAAGAAUGCGUCAAUCAGGGAAUGCUCCGUGUGUAAUGAAGUAUUCCAGGAGUAGCUUAUCGUAUCAAUUAGAACAAAGCAAUUUAAAUAACUACGUGUACACCAGUAUCUUACUGACGUCAGAGUAAGGCCUGAGUCAAAAUCUAAGACGAUGCAGAUACAACUGAGGCGGACGCGUCAGCUAGCCACGCCGUCGGCUGUGAAAGAGGAAGACAGCCGCCGGGUGAGAUGUUUCCCGCAGCACAAGCGGUAUGGGCGAUUCGAGAAAGCACGAAUGCCCUCGAGUCUGCUCCCUAUAAAUGCUUACUCAGGCAUCUCUGUGUUUCUCAAGUUAAUAUCGGCCUUGCAUUACAACGAGCGAGCGACAACAACAGAGCAAAGAUGACGAGCACAGCUGGUCAGGUCAUCAAGUGCAAAGGUUCGUCCCUUCUGCCGUUUGUUGGUGUUUCAUUCUUUUGUUGCCUCAAGGAGACGGAGCUCAGUUUUCCCCCAAUUUUGAGUGGGGGCACAUGGGUUCUUCCGGUCUUCGUGAUACCUGGAGGGGGACAGAAAAUACCCUUCUGCUUGGCAAAGGCUGCAAAUUUAUCCUUACUUCUCUGGCCUGAUGUUGCAGCGGCGGUUGCCUGGGAGGCGGGGAAGCCGCUGGUUAUCGAAGAGGUGGAGGUGGCUCCGCCGCAGGCCAUGGAGGUCCGCGUGAAGAUCCUCUUCACCUCCCUCUGCCACACCGACGUCUUCUUCUGGGAGGCCAAGGUACGGAUUUCCUCCAUAGUAUCUCCGACAGACGGCGAUCCCCGGAAGAUCUCUCGGUCGAUGGAGCGCGGUGAUUGACGUGGUCUGGCUAUGGUGGCAUUGCAGGGUCAGACACCCGUGUUCCCCCGAAUUUUGGGCCACGAAGGAGCAGGGUACGCCUCCACCUUUCAAUUCCUCUCGCUUCCUCGGUCUCCCCGAAUAGUCUUCUUCUUUCUCUUCAUCAGUCUCCCCAUAUGGACUUAAACUUCGGCGUACUGGUGUUGAUGGUGAGCAGGGUCGUGGAGAGCGUGGGAGAAGGCGUGACGGAUCUGCAGCCGGGAGACCACGUGCUCCCGGUGUUCACGGGAGAGUGUAAGGAGUGCGACCACUGCAAAUCGGAGGAGAGCAACAUGUGCAGCCUGCUGAGGAUCGACCCUGACNNNNNNNNNNNNNNNNNNNNCGGCGUACUGGUGUUGAUGGUGAGCAGGGUCGUGGAGAGCGUGGGAGAAGGCGUGACGGAUCUGCAGCCGGGAGACCACGUGCUCCCGGUGUUCACGGGAGAGUGUAAGGAGUGCGACCACUGCAAAUCGGAGGAGAGCAACAUGUGCAGCCUGCUGAGGAUCGACCCUGACCGGGGCGUGAUGAUCGGAGACGGGAAGGCGAGGUUCUCCAUCAACGGGAAGCCCAUCUACCAUUUUCUCGGCACCUCCACCUUCAGCGAGUACACGGUGGUGCACGUGGGCUGCCUGGCGAAGAUAAACCCGUUGGCUCCCCUGGAAACGGUCUGCG